GCGGAUGUAGUUCAAUGGUAGAACAUCGGCUUCCCAAGCCGACAACGCGGGUUCGAUUCCCGUCAUCCGCU
Molecule: transfer RNA, 71 nt
Filed under: Tepidibacillus fermentans
Lineage: Bacteria; Bacillati; Bacillota; Bacilli; Caryophanales; Bacillaceae
Rfam family: tRNA
About the family: Transfer RNA (tRNA) molecules are approximately 80 nucleotides in length. Their secondary structure includes four short double-helical elements and three loops (D, anti-codon, and T loops).
Source: Rfam by way of RNAcentral